UACAGAGGGUGCAAGCGUUGUUCGGAAUUACUGGGCGUAAAGGGCGCGUAGGCGGCCUGCUAAGUCGGACGUGAAAUCCCUCGGCUCAACCGAGGAACUGCGUCCGAUACUGGUGGGCUUGAAUCCGGGAGAGGGAUGUGGAAUUCCAGGUGUAGCGGUGAAAUGCGUAGAUAUCUGGAGGAACACCGGUGGCGAAGGCGGCAUCCUGGACCGGUAUUGACGCUGAGGCGCGAAAGCUAGGGUAGCAAACGGG
Molecule: ribosomal RNA, 253 nt
Filed under: uncultured bacterium
Lineage: Bacteria
Description: partial 16S ribosomal RNA
Rfam family: Bacterial small subunit ribosomal RNA
Source: RNAcentral